AUCACAGCACACAGCCUCCUAGAAAAGAGUGCACUAAGAAUGUGAGGAUUGCGUGUCCCUUGCUCUGCGUGCUCCAUCAUUUGUCUCAGCACAGAGAAUGGGAAAUAUCCAAAAGAUUAGGUUCAGCAUUCUGCAGACCGAGGCUUGAAGGCAUGUUGUGAACUGGAUUCUGGCUCUAAGCUGCAGUUCACAAGCACGUUUUGUAGUGUGGAGUCUUAAACUGACCUGUAGUCCAGCUUGGCUUGUGAAGCAUCAGUGAAGCAACCGGAGCUCCUCAAGAGAAUCUAGGAUUUGGCCCUUGAGGAAGCUGGAGCUGCU
Molecule: long non-coding RNA, 318 nt
Filed under: Cyanistes caeruleus (blue tit)
Lineage: Eukaryota; Metazoa; Chordata; Aves; Passeriformes; Paridae
Description: lncRNA (ENSCCEG00000019666.1)
Source: RNAcentral